Long non-coding RNA from Clarias gariepinus (North African catfish), 368 nucleotides. RefSeq lists it as uncharacterized. Lineage: Eukaryota; Metazoa; Chordata; Actinopteri; Siluriformes; Clariidae. The transcript is spliced from 3 exons. The record is from RefSeq and is a predicted model, not a curated record.
AUUGCAUCAUGACAAAAAACCCAGCCUUAUGCUCACUACCAGUUACACUCAAACCAGCAGGAGACUCACAGCGCGGGGUGUAAACACAAUGUCACCGCAAAUUCACCACAACGUCAAUGUCUACUUUACUGUCUCUAUAAAAUGACCGACUGGCGGAGAAUCCACACCUAAACGAACGUUAAGGACCGGAGUCAAAGAGAACAGAAUAAUGAGUGAUGUGGUAACCGGAGCUGCUCUCUGCUUCUCUAGUCAUUGCCUGAUCGCAGAAGCCCGGGGCCUGUUCCAGGGAACUCGGAGCACAAGGCGGGGUACACCCUGGACACGGUGUCAAUCCAUUGCAGAGCACGCACACACACGCAAUGGGCAAU